GCCCUGAGAAGCAUUUUGAGACACACACGGACAACACAUAACUUUAAAAAUAUAUGAAUUUGCAAGAAAAAAGUGUACCAAGGUAAAGGUUUAAGGAUAGCAACAAUGGAUAUUGGACCGUUUUCAAAAAUGUGGCUGGUGCUUUUGGUGUUAAAUUGCCAUGUAACUGAAG
Long non-coding RNA from Entelurus aequoreus (snake pipefish), 172 nucleotides. RefSeq lists it as uncharacterized. The transcript has 3 exons. The record is from RefSeq and is a predicted model, not a curated record. NCBI's taxonomy places the organism in Eukaryota, Metazoa, Chordata, Actinopteri, Syngnathiformes, Syngnathidae.